GCACGCUGACACGUAGGUGAAGUGAUUUACUCAUGGAGCUGAAGUCAGUCGAAGAUACCAGCUGGCUGCAACUGUUUAUUAAAAACACAGCACUGUGCAAACACGAAAGUGGACGUAUACGGUGUGACGCCUGCCCGGUGCCGGAAGGUUAAUUGAUGGGGUCAGCGCAAGCGAAGCUCCUGAUCGAAGCCCCGGUAAACGGCGGCCGUAACUAUAACGGUCCUAAGGUAGCGAAAUUCCUUGUCGGGUAAGUUCCGACCUGCACGAAUGGCGUAAUGAUGGCCAGGCUGUCUCCACCCGAGACUCAGUGAAAUUGAACUCGCUGUGAAGAUGCAGUGUACCCGCGGCAAGACGGAAAGACCCCGUGAACCUUUACUAUAGCUUGACACUGAACAUUGAGCCUUGAUGUGUAGGAUAGGUGGGAGGCUUUGAAGCGUGGACGCCAGUCUGCGUGGAGCCGACCUUGAAAUACCACCCUUUAAUGUUUGAUGUUCUAACGUGGACCCGUAAUCCGGGUUGCGGACAGUGUCUGGUGGGUAGUUUGACUGGGGCGGUCUCCUCCUAAAGAGUAACGGAGGAGCACGAAGGUUGGCUAAUCCUGGUCGGACAUCAGGAGGUUAGUGCAAUGGCAUAAGCCAGCUUGACUGCGAGCGUGACGGCGCGAGCAGGUGCGAAAGCAGGUCAUAGUGAUCCGGUGGUUCUGAAUGGAAGGGCCAUCGCUCAACGGAUAAAAGGUACUCCGGGGAUAACAGGCUGAUACCGCCCAAGAGUUCAUAUCGACGGCGGUGUUUGGCACCUCGAUGUCGGCUCAUCACAUCCUGGGGCUGAAGUAGGUCCCAAGGGUAUGGCUGUUCGCCAUUUAAAGUGGUACGCGAGCUGGGUUUAGAACGUCGUGAGACAGUUCGGUCCCUAUCUGCCGUGGGCGCUGGAGAACUGAGGGGGGCUGCUCCUAGUACGAGAGGACCGGAGUGGACGCAUCACUGGUGUUCGGGUUGUCAUGCCAAUGGCACUGCCCGGUAGCUAAAUGCGGAAGAGAUAAGUGCUGAAAGCAUCUAAGCACGAAACUUGCCCCGAGAUGAGUUCUCCCUGAGACUUAGAGUCUCCUGAAGGAACGUUGAAGACGACGACGUUGAUAGGCCGGGUGUGUAAGCGCAGCGAUGCGUUGAGCUAACCGGUACUAAUGAACCGUGAGGCUUAACCUUACAACGCCGAAG
This 1214-nucleotide ribosomal RNA is filed under the name Salmonella enterica subsp. enterica serovar Infantis str. CVM N42459. RNAcentral's name for it is "bacterial LSU rRNA". It matches the Rfam family "Bacterial large subunit ribosomal RNA", at positions 1746 to 2925 of the family's 2925-position model. The record is from RNAcentral. Lineage: Bacteria; Pseudomonadati; Pseudomonadota; Gammaproteobacteria; Enterobacterales; Enterobacteriaceae.